This 251-nucleotide ribosomal RNA is filed under the name uncultured prokaryote. Its description in RNAcentral is "partial 16S rRNA". It matches the Rfam family "Bacterial small subunit ribosomal RNA", at positions 525 to 775 of the family's 1533-position model. The record is from RNAcentral.
ACGGAGGGAGCUAGCGUUACUCGGAAUCACUGGGCGUAAAGGGCGUGUAGGCGGAUUGGAAAGUCAGGCGUGAAAUACCUCGGCUCAACCGAGGAAUUGCGUCUGAAACUUCCUUUCUUGAGUGUGGGAGGGGAGAGUGGAACUCCUGGUGGAGCGGUGAAAUGCGUAGAUAUCAGGAGGAACGCCGGUGGCGAAAGCGGCUCUCUGGUCCACUACUGACGCUGAGGCGCGAAAGCCAGGGGAGCAAACGG